UGAGUAACACGUGGGCAAUCUGCCCUGCACUUCGGGAUAAGCCUGGGAAACUGGGUCUAAUACCGGAUAGGACCUUUAGACGCAUGUCUUUUGGUGGAAAGCUUUUGCGGUGUGGGAUGGGCCCGCGGCCUAUCAGCUUGUUGGUGGGGUGAUGGCCUACCAAGGCGACGACGGGUAGCCGGCCUGAGAGGGUGUCCGGCCACACUGGGACUGAGAUACGGCCCAGACUCCUACGGGAGGCAGCAGUGGGGAAUAUUGCACAAUGGGCGCAAGCCUGAUGCAGCGACGCCGCGUGGGGGAUGACGGCCUUCGGGUUGUAAACCUCUUUCACCAUCGACGAAGGUCCGGGUUUUCUCGGAUUGACGGUAGGUGGAGAAGAAGCACCGGCCAACUACGUGCCAGCAGCCGCGGUAAUACGUAGGGUGCGAGCGUUGUCCGGAAUUACUGGGCGUAAAGAGCUCGUAGGUGGUUUGUCGCGUUGUUCGUGAAAUCUCACGGCUUAACUGUGAGCGUGCGGGCGAUACGGGCAGACUAGAGUACUGCAGGGGAGACUGGAAUUCCUGGUGUAGCGGUGGAAUGCGCAGAUAUCAGGAGGAACACCGGUGGCGAAGGCGGGUCUCUGGGCAGUAACUGACGCUGAGGAGCGAAAGCGUGGGGGAGCGAACAGGAUUAGAUACCCUGGUAGUCCACGCCCGUAAACGGUGGGUACUAGGUGUGGGGUUUCCUUCCUUGGGGAUCCCGUGCCGUAGCUAACGCAUUUAAGUACCCCCGCCUGGGGAGUACGGCCGCAAAGGCUAAAACUCAAAGGGAAUUUGACGGGGGGCCCCGCACAA
Molecule: ribosomal RNA, 833 nt
Filed under: Mycobacterium sp.
Lineage: Bacteria; Bacillati; Actinomycetota; Actinomycetes; Mycobacteriales; Mycobacteriaceae
Description: bacterial SSU rRNA
Rfam family: Bacterial small subunit ribosomal RNA
Source: RNAcentral